UUAAUUAAUAUUUCGAAUUCUUAUUGCUUAAAUUAGCUUAAUAAUUACUUAAUAAAUACUUAAUAUUCAGUACCCAUAGGAUAUACUGGAAUUUACCAUCCCGAGUUUUAGUUCAAAUAUCUACCAAUAAAUAUAAUAUGUAAUAUAUUGGCAAUGAAUUAAAUUCCAAAGAUAAGUGCAUGCAAUUUAUAUCAGACCAAUGAAACAGUUUCCAGUCCAUUAUUUUUUUUUUUUUUAGAUACUAAUGAUGUACAUACAAUCGUCGGCGUCUAAAGCAUGUGGUUGUGAAUGUAAAUGUAAAUGCGGUUGCGGUUGUGGAGGCUGCGGUGGUUGCGGUGGAUGUUGAAAAAAUAAUAAUUAGCUACUAAUCUGAGUUAUUAAUGGUUAAUGUCAAAUUAUCAAUGUCAGCGUCAUGUGAUGAUAACUGCUCUGAAAAAUUUUAAUUACUAAGUAUAUCAAACAUUUAAAUUACAAUAAAUCUAUAAUGAAUUAGUAUCAGUAAUACCAAUUUUAGUUUGUGGAAAUUAAUGUUACAGCUAUAUUGUAAAUUCAUAUUAUAGUAUAGUUAAUUUUUAAAUAUGUUGCAAAUCAUCAUUAAUAUAUGGUGGGUUUCACCAAUGAUUUUAUUAA
This is a long non-coding RNA of Sipha flava (yellow sugarcane aphid), 630 nucleotides long. RefSeq lists it as uncharacterized. Lineage: Eukaryota; Metazoa; Arthropoda; Insecta; Hemiptera; Aphididae. The record is from RefSeq and is a predicted model, not a curated record. The transcript has 2 exons.